UACGGAGGGUGCAAGCGUUAUCCGGAUUCACUGGGUUUAAAGGGUGCGUAGGAGGGCAGGUAAGUCAGUGGUGAAAUCUUCGAGCUUAACUCGGAAACUGCCGUUGAUACUAUCUGUCUUGAAUACCGUGGAGAUGAGCGGAAUAUGUCAUGUAGCGGUGAAAUGCUUAGAUAUGACAUAGAACACCAAUUGCGAAGGCAGCUCGUUACACGAAUAUUGACUCUGAGGCACGAAAGCGUGGAGAUCAAACAGG
This 253-nucleotide ribosomal RNA is filed under the name uncultured bacterium. RNAcentral's name for it is "partial 16S ribosomal RNA". It matches the Rfam family "Bacterial small subunit ribosomal RNA", at positions 524 to 776 of the family's 1533-position model. The record is from RNAcentral.